AGAGUUUGAUCCUGGCUCAGGAUGAACGCUAGCUACAGGCUUAACACAUGCAAGUCGAGGGGAAACGACACCGAAAGCUUGCUUUUGAUGGGCGUCGACCGGCGCACGGGUGAGUAACGCGUAUCCAACCUGCCCACCACUUGGGGAUAACCUUGCGAAAGUAAGACUAAUACCCAAUGAUAUCUCUAGAAGACAUCUGAAAGAGAUUAAAGAUUUAUCGGUGAUGGAUGGGGAUGCGUCUGAUUAGCUUGUUGGCGGGGUAACGCCACAAGGCGACGAUCAGUAGGGGUUCUGGGAGGAAGGUCCCCCACAUUGGAACUGAGACACGGUCCAAACUCCUACGGGAGGCA
RNAcentral lists this ribosomal RNA (350 nucleotides) under uncultured bacterium. RNAcentral's name for it is "bacterial SSU rRNA". It matches the Rfam family "Bacterial small subunit ribosomal RNA", at positions 8 to 350 of the family's 1533-position model. The record is from RNAcentral.